This 253-nucleotide ribosomal RNA is filed under the name uncultured bacterium. Its description in RNAcentral is "partial 16S ribosomal RNA". It matches the Rfam family "Bacterial small subunit ribosomal RNA", at positions 524 to 776 of the family's 1533-position model. The record is from RNAcentral.
UACAGAGGGUGCAAGCGUUGUUCGGAAUUACUGGGCGUAAAGGGCGCGUAGGCGGGAUGGCAAGUCGGUCGUGAAAUCCUUCGGCUCAACCGAAGAACGUCGAUCGAUACUGCUGUUCUUGAGGGUUGCAGAGGAGACUGGAAUUCCCGGUGUAGCGGUGAAAUGUGUAGAGAUCGGGAGGAACACCGGUGGCGAAGGCGGGUCUCUGGGCAAUUCCUGACGCUGAGGCGCGAAAGCGUGGGGAGCAAACGGG